CCACGACUUACUGUCAUUUCUAUUUAUGAUAAUUUUGGAGAUUGCUUCUGAUUUGGGAGCCUCAGCAUGUGCAGUUUGUACAAGCCCCACCAUUUGCUUGAUCUUCGCAUGCAGGGCAGUUGAAAAUUAUGUGUGGCUGGAGUUGAUAUCACCAGCCUGCUGCAUGCCAGGGUUGGACUGACAGCAAAAUUAUAGUGCCCUCUUAAUGGAGCUUGUGAAGACACAAAUGUUUCUUCCAACUGAAGGAAUUCAAAGGUGAGUGCCUUAUACCUUUUCAAACAUUUUUACAAAUACUGUAGAACUUUUGCAUAAAGACUCUGUAUUACUGAAGAAAUAUAAAGUAGUAGCUGGACAUCACUAAUGUCAGCAACACUGGGAAGAUU
This 383-nucleotide long non-coding RNA is filed under the name Phasianus colchicus (ring-necked pheasant). RNAcentral describes it as "lncRNA (ENSPCLG00000010660.1)". The record is from RNAcentral. Lineage: Eukaryota; Metazoa; Chordata; Aves; Galliformes; Phasianidae.